Non-coding RNA from Pelobates cultripes (western spadefoot toad), 190 nucleotides. Lineage: Eukaryota; Metazoa; Chordata; Amphibia; Anura; Pelobatidae. The record is from the annotation of a GenBank genome assembly.
UACUCACAGACACACACACAAAUUACCCACUCCCGAUGCGGGGAGGUAGUGACGAAAAAUAACAAUGCCGGAUUCUUUAGACACCCUGUUAUUGGAAUGAGUACACUUUAAAUCCUUUAACGAGGAUCUAUUGGAGGACAAGUCUGGUGCAGAGCGACUGACCCGUGCGUGCUGCAGCUGAAACUCCACU